This 1658-nucleotide small RNA is filed under the name Pongo abelii (Sumatran orangutan). RNAcentral describes it as "retained intron". Lineage: Eukaryota; Metazoa; Chordata; Mammalia; Primates; Hominidae. The record is from RNAcentral.
AUUUUUAGUAGAGAUGGGGUUUCGCCAUGUUGGCCAGGCUGGUCUUGAACUCCUGACCUCAGGUGAUCCACCCACCUCGGCCUCCCAAAGUGCUGGGAUUACAGGCGUGAGGCACCAUGCCCGCCCUUCUGUCUGUGUCUUUCUUAUUCACUACUCCAGUUUUCUUCACCUUCUCCCUUCUGGAAGGCCACUCUUCUGGGUGGAGGGGACCAGACUUCAGAAGGUACUGACCUCUUCUUCUUGUUCCCUUUGGGGUGCUUCCUUCCUCCUAGCCAACUUCACCUUGCCAGAUGUUGGGGACUUCCUGGAUGAGGUUCUGUUCAUUGAGCUGCAGCGGGAGGAAGCAGACAAGCUAGUGAGGCAGUACAAUGAGGAAGGCCGCAAGGCUGGGCCACCCCCUGAAAAGCGCUUUGACAACCGAGGUGGUGGUGGCUUCCGGGGCCGCGGGGGUGGUGGUGGCUUCCAGCGCUACGACAACCGAGGACCCCCUGGAGGCAACCGUGGCGGCUUCCAGAACCGAGGGGGAGGCAGCGGUGGAGGAGGCAACUAUCGAGGAGGUUUCAACCGCAGUGGAGGUGGUGGCUAUAGCCAGAACCGCUGGGGUAACAACAACCGGGAUAACAACAACUCCAACAACAGAGGCAGCUACAACCGGGCUCCCCAGCAACAGCCACCACCACAGCAGCCUCCGCCACCACAGCCACCACCCCAGCAGCCACCGCCACCACCCAGCUACAGUCCUGCUCGGAACCCCCCAGGGGCCAGCACCUACAAUAAGAACAGCAACAUCCCUGGCUCAAGCGCCAAUACCAGCACCCCCACCGUCAGCAGCUACAGCCCUCCACAGAGCUUUGGCUUUUUUCCCUCCACUUUCCAGCCGAGUUACAGCCAGCCACCCUACAACCAGGGAGGUUACAGCCAGGGCUACACAGCCCCACCGCCUCCACCUCCACCACCACCUGCCUACAACUAUGGGAGCUACGGCGGUUACAACCCGGCCCCCUAUACCCCACCGCCACCCCCCACCGCACAGACCUACCCUCAGCCCAGCUAUAACCAGUAUCAGCAGUAUGCCCAGCAGUGGAACCAGUACUAUCAGAACCAGGGCCAGUGGCCGCCAUACUACGGGAACUACGACUACGGGAGCUACUCCGGGAACACACAGGGUGGCACAAGUACACAGUAGCCAGUGUGACCCAGAGGCUCCCGGAGGCCCCUGCCGGCUUCCUCCACCAGCGCCUGCCUCGGCCCCUCCUCUGCCCCCGCCAGAUCUGGUGGUGCUGGGGAUGGGGGUCAUCCCAGGGCUGCCUCCCUCCAGCCCACUGCCUUCCCUCUGAGGGGCUUCCUUCCCCUCCAUAGGGCCAGGCAUUUUUUUCUGGAUUCAAACAGGCAACAAUGACCUUUUAUUUUCUGUUUGUCCCCACCUCCCCAACCUUCCACCUCCUGUUCUUCCUACCUUCUUCCUUUUUGACUAAAUAAUCCCCGCCUCCCUUGAUCAUACAGUGAGGCUACAGUGACUGAGAGGAGAAUCCCCUCCUGUUCACUCUCCCAACCCUGCUCCAGCCCCUCAGCUUCCCAGACCCUCAUGCAGUUGGUUGUAAAUUCUCCCAGGAGCUGUUUUACUGUCUACUUUUCAGGAUUAAAAAAAAUCAAAACUU